This 405-nucleotide ribosomal RNA is filed under the name uncultured bacterium. RNAcentral's name for it is "partial 16S ribosomal RNA". It matches the Rfam family "Bacterial small subunit ribosomal RNA", at positions 30 to 526 of the family's 1533-position model. The record is from RNAcentral.
AUUGAACGCUGGCGGCAGGCCUAACACAUGCAAGUCGAACGAGUGGCGGCGGGGUGGUAAUGUCUUGGACACUGCCCGCUUGAGGGGGAUAACUACUGGAAACGGUAGCUAAUACCGCAUACCAUCGGAUGUGCCCAGAUGGGAUUAGCUAGUGGGUGGGGUAACGGCUAACCUAGGCGACGAUCCCUAGCUGGUCUGAGAGGAUGACCAGCAACACGGGAACUGAGACAGGGUCCAGACCCCUCCGGGAGGCAGCAGUGGGGAAUAUUGCACAAGGGGCGCAAGCCUGAUGCAGCCAUGCGGCGUGUAGGAAGAAGGCCUUCGGGUUGUAAAGUACUUUCAGCGAGGAGGCGUUACUCGCAGAAGAAGCACCGGCUAACUCCGUGCCAGCAGCCGCGGUAAUAC